Molecule: ribosomal RNA, 253 nt
Filed under: uncultured bacterium
Lineage: Bacteria
Description: partial 16S ribosomal RNA
Rfam family: Bacterial small subunit ribosomal RNA
Source: RNAcentral
UACGUAGGUGGCAAGCGUUGUCCGGAUUUACUGGGCGUAAAGCGCACGUAGGCGGACUAUUAAGUCAGGGGUGAAAUCCCGGGGCUCAACCCCGGAACUGCCUUUGAUACUGGUAGUCUUGAGUUCGAGAGAGGUGAGUGGAAUUCCGAGUGUAGAGGUGAAAUUCGUAGAUAUUCGGAGGAACACCAGUGGCGAAGGCGGCUCACUGGCUCGAUACUGACGCUGAGGUGCGAAAGCGUGGGGAGCAAACAGG